This 802-nucleotide ribosomal RNA is filed under the name uncultured bacterium. Its description in RNAcentral is "bacterial SSU rRNA". It matches the Rfam family "Bacterial small subunit ribosomal RNA", at positions 135 to 942 of the family's 1533-position model. The record is from RNAcentral.
GCUCCGGGAUAGCGCCUCGAAAGGGACGGUAAUACCGGAUAAUAUCGUCUGUCGAUGGGCAGAUGAGCAAAGAUUUAUCGGCAUAGGAGCGGCCUACCUCCUAUCAGCUUGUUGGUGAGGUAAUGGCUCACCAAGGCUAUGACGGGUAGCGGGACUGAGAGGUUGGCCCGCCACAUCGGGACUGAGACACUGCCCGGACCCUCACGGGGGGCUGCAGUAACGAAUCUUGGGCAAUGGGCGAAAGCCUGACCCAGCGACGCCGCGUGCGGGAAGAAGUCUUUCGGGAUGUAAACCGCUGUCAGGGAUAAGAAAGUCCGCCGAAAGGCGGAUUGAUCUAACCCUGAGGAAGUCACGGCUAACUUCGUGCCAGCAGCCGCGGUAAUACGAAGGUGGCAAGCGUUGUUCGGUAUCACUGGGCUUAAAGAGUGUGUAGGCGGAAAGGUAAGCGUGGUGUGAAAUCCCUCGGCUUAACCGAGGAAUCGCAAAACGAACUGCCUUUCUUGAGGCAAGUAGGGGUGCAUGGAACUCUUGGUGGAGCGGUGAAAUGCGUAGAUAUCAAGAGGAACGCCAGUGGCGAAAGCGGUGCACUGGGCUUGUCCUGACGCUGAGACACGAAAGCGUGGGGAGCGAACGGGAUUAGAUACCCCGGUAGUCCACGCCGUAAACGAUGUCUACUAGGUGGUGGAAGUUCUGACGCUGCCACCACCGAAGCAAAAGUGUUAAGUAGACCGCCUGGGGAGUACGGCCGCAAGGCUAAAACCCAAAGGAAUUGACGGGGGCUCACACAAGCGGUGGAGCAUGU